Bactrocera neohumeralis is the source of this 1339-nucleotide long non-coding RNA. RefSeq lists it as uncharacterized. The transcript is spliced from 4 exons. The record is from RefSeq and is a predicted model, not a curated record. Lineage: Eukaryota; Metazoa; Arthropoda; Insecta; Diptera; Tephritidae.
UUUCUUUAAUACCAACAUUUCAAAAGUACGGUCAGUGAGAUUUUGUUUGCCAUCGAUUGACAAUUCCAAAAAUAGUACUCACCUAAAUAUUGCAUUACAGUUACUCAAAUGGGAGUACUCACUUAAAUAUUGCAUUUCAAUAACUCCAACUUAGUAACAUUAGUUCAAUUUUACAAAUAAACUUACAAACUAACACUUAACUUAUGCAUGCUUACGUAUCGUCGGCUUAGCUUUUCCUUAUAAGCUAGAGAUAUUGCACAUAUGUAUGUACCUUUGCUAGCAUAAGUACUCAUUAGAAUUUUGCCACUUUGUUUUGUAACUCUUUUGCUUGAAUGUACUUACAGUGGGGAGCAAAACCGAGAACAUAUUUGCUUUCUUGAGGUAUUAGCAUUGAUUUUCAUGAUACAAUUUUCUCGAUAGGUUUUUUGAAAGUUUGAUGUUGACUCUUUAUUAUACUAGUAUUGAAUGGACUAUAAAACUGCAUACCCAAAAAUAUUAUAAAUGCUCUUAUUAAAGCCUUUGAAAUUUGUACGAAAAUUUUAAAAUUGUAUCGUGAAAAAAAAUGCUAAUGUCUCAAAAAGGCAAACAUGCGUUCCUUUCUGCUCCCCAGUGUGCAUUUGAACAUUCACACAAACAUAUGUACUACAUAAUAACUAACUCGCUUUACUACUGAGCUCCGUUGUAAUUUUAAGAGUGCCAAAUUAAGUAGCAAGACACCAAGAAAUCACGUUUUAAUUCAUAAAGAAGGGUGUGAGUUUAACUAGCAAAAGGAGAACAUUAAUUGUGAACUAUUGUACUUGUCUAAAUGUCUGUUCAUGUUUUCGAAACCGAUUUUUCUGCAGACGACAGUAUUGAAGAUCUGGACUUUAAUACUACUGGAAGUAAACGAAAGAGUUCAUUAAGUGCGAAAUCAGGACCGGCCCUAAAAAAAGUCCGUGUGAAUUCACAAAAAAUUAUUUUCAAAGAAGAAUUUUACACAGAAGUGGAAAAAAUUUCCGACAAGACAACUUGUGCUAAGUGCGUUGCAUGUCAUCGAGUGAUUAGAGGAAGCGGUGAAGUGACUUCAAAUUUCAUCAAACAUUUGCAAGUCAAGCAUAGUGAAUGUUUUAAAACAUACAAAAGUUAUAAAACAGGUAGCCCUUUUGGCGGUAACAUGCAAUCUGAGUUCGAUGGUAAACUGUUACAUGCAAUGAUUGAUUGUUCAUUGCCCCUUUCCAUUCUGGAAGAAAAAUCCUUUAUAGAUCUUUUUCAAAGUACAGGUAUGAAGGUGAUGUGUCAGAAUGUUUUCAAUGCAAAUUUUUCAAAACGAAAUGUAAAUAUAAAAUGAUGAGCUUUCAAA